This is a long non-coding RNA of Papaver somniferum (opium poppy), 800 nucleotides long. RefSeq lists it as uncharacterized. The transcript has 4 exons. The record is from RefSeq and is a predicted model, not a curated record. NCBI's taxonomy places the organism in Eukaryota, Viridiplantae, Streptophyta, Magnoliopsida, Ranunculales, Papaveraceae.
AAAAAAAAAAAAAAGAGAAAAAAGAGUUCUUCGUCCUUCGCUGAUCAGGUGAACUGACUUCUUCUUAAUCAAAAGUUGAGUGAUCCAACAGGGACGACUAGCAGAGCAAAAGGGUAAAAGAUGUCGAUCCCUCCAAAGCUGCGUUUGUAAGCUGUUGCUUGGAUCAGUUUGAUAUCUGAUUCCAUCUUAAAAUUUUAAGAGGAGCUGGUUGUAUUGUCAUUGUUAAGCUUGGAUGGAUAAAAAUUGGAUGCAGAAGGGUAAAUGCCACCCUGACUAUAAACGUGGCUGCGAUGAAUUCAUAAAUUUUGCUUGGUCUCAUCGUACUCCUGAUUUAGGCAAUGGAUCACUACAGUUUGGGGACACCGGAAGUUGAGCUCAUCCAAGAAGAUUCAUCCCACACACAUAAUGUAACCAGUGCAGAUGAAAUUGGCCAAGACUUUGGCAGUUGGACCGGAAAUGAAAUUGGAGGGGAAGAGGUGAUUAGAAGUACAACUGACGGUGAUAAAGGCGAUCUAAAUAAUGACAGCAAAUAAUGACAGCGAUAGUGAUCACAGUGAUUAUUUUAGUGAUUGUGAACGAGAUGAUCUCGGCUAACAUAUAUAAAGUCAAAGUUACUACUGAAUGCUACGGUUUACUUGAUGUUUUCCUGUUUUAUUUUAGCUUGAAUUACUUUCAAUUCUCACUUAAAUUUUAUUUGCUUUCAUUUUUCCGAUGAAGAUCAUUUGAAAAUUGAUUAGACAAAAUUUGUGAUUAAUGGUUCGGAACAUACUCAAUUUCAUGAAUGUACUUUUAAUUUUGUG